UUUACACUCACUACUGGAAAUUUUUGUUUCCAGAAAAGCACACCUUUUUAUGAAGCGGUGGGUUUUUUUUUAACGGACUUGUUAUAAACUUCUCAUUAAACAUAUUCUGAAUAACUUCCCAAAGAAAUCCAAGAGAAAAGGCGGCUGCUUCUGAACCCUGCCAACUAGUACAAAAAAAAGCAACGUCUGCGAAGCUCUCCCUCAGCGCCGGCUGCCCCGCCGUGGGCUCCGGCCGAGGGCCGGCUUCGCAGCGCAGCUGCCUUCCGGCGGCGGGGCCCGCGCAGCGCGGGCAGCAGGAGGGCUUCGGCCGCGCGGCGGCGGCGGGCGCCGGCUGGGCAGGGCGGGGGCGGCCGGCGGGCCCCGGGCCUACCCGGACCGGCGGCCUUGCGCCCCCCGGCCCACAGCGCCCGGCGCGGGACAGCCCGGGCGGGUGCCCUCAGCCCCGCGCAGUGCUCGUGCUUUCUCGGAGCUGAACCCUGGAGGCUCUGCAGCGGCUGGGAGAGCCUUUCCCUCGGCUUCUCCCCGGGCUGGGCCCUAACCAGAAGUCAACUACUGAUUUGUUGUUCCCUAUGUGUCUCUUGGAGCCUUUUUUUGAAAAUGUAUUCACAUUUCCCAUCUUUUGAGGUUAAACAACAGACUACAUGCCUUGGAGGAGGGUCAGUCUUUGGAUGAAGCACUGACAGCUGAGCAGUAGUGGCAACCCCACGACCCAGAACAAGGCCAGAAGAGCACAGAAGAGCACCUCUGUUACACAGCCAACUUUAA
Molecule: long non-coding RNA, 765 nt
Organism: Falco peregrinus (peregrine falcon)
Lineage: Eukaryota; Metazoa; Chordata; Aves; Falconiformes; Falconidae
Exons: 3
Source: RefSeq, a predicted model, not a curated record